This 468-nucleotide ribosomal RNA is filed under the name uncultured bacterium. RNAcentral's name for it is "partial 16S ribosomal RNA". It matches the Rfam family "Bacterial small subunit ribosomal RNA", at positions 28 to 507 of the family's 1533-position model. The record is from RNAcentral.
GACGAACGCUGGCGGCGUGCUUAACACAUGCAAGUCGAACGGAAAGGCCCUGCUUUUGUGGGGUGCUCGAGUGGCGAACGGGUGAGUAACACGUGAGUAACCUGCCCUUGACUUUGGGAUAACUUCAGGAAACUGGGGCUAAUACCGGAUAGGAGCUUCUGCUGCACGGUGGGGGUUGGAAAGUUUCGGCGGUUGGGGAUGGACUCGCGGCUUAUCAGCUUGUUGGUGGGGUAGUGGCUUACCAAGGCUUUGACGGGUAGCCGGCCUGAGAGGGUGACCGGCCACAUUGGGACUGAGAUACGGCCCAGACUCCUACGGGAGGCAGCAGUGGGGAAUAUUGCACAAUGGGCGGAAGCCUGAUGCAGCAACGCCGCGUGCGGGAUGACGGCCUUCGGGUUGUAAACCGCUUUCGCCUGUGACGAAGCGUGAGUGACGGUAAUGGGUAAAGAAGCACCGGCUAACUACGUG